RNAcentral lists this ribosomal RNA (412 nucleotides) under uncultured rumen archaeon. RNAcentral's name for it is "bacterial SSU rRNA". It matches the Rfam family "Archaeal small subunit ribosomal RNA", at positions 459 to 871 of the family's 1478-position model. The record is from RNAcentral.
CAGCCGCCGCGGUAAUACCUGCAGCCCAAGUGGUGGUCGAUUUUAUUGAGUCUAAAACGUUCGUAGCCGGUUUGGUAAAUCUUUGGGUAAAUCGGGAAGCUCAACUUUCCGACCUCCGAAGAGACUGUCAAACUUGGGACCGGGAGAGGCUAGAGGUACUUCUGGGGUAGGGGUAAAAUCCUGUAAUCCUAGAAGGACCACCGGUGGCGAAGGCGUCUAGCUAGAACGGAUCCGACGGUGAGGGACGAAGCCCUGGGUCGCAAACGGGAUUAGAUACCCCGGUAGUCCAGGGUGUAAACGCCGCCGACUUGGUGUUGGAGGCCCUUCGGGGGCAUUCAGUGCCGGAGAGAAGUUGUUAAGUCGGCUACUUGGGGAGUACGUCCGCAAGGAUGAAACUUAAAGGAAUUGGCGG